GCAAACUUGGUCAUUUAGAGGAAGUAAAAGUCGUAACAAGGUUUCCGUAGGUGAACCUGCGGAAGGAUCAUUAAGAGUUUUGCGAUGGCCUAACCCGCCUCGUCUUUCUUUUAACCAUUGUGAACACACCUGUUGCUUCGGUGGCAUGGCCCCUCCGGGAGCCUGUCAGUCUGCCGGCAGCACGCAAACAAAACCAUUUCUGUAACUGUCGUCUGUACGUUAACGAAAAAUACGUUAAAACUUUCAACAACGGAUCUCUUGGUUCUCGCAUCGAUGAAGAACGCAGC
RNAcentral lists this unclassified non-coding RNA (287 nucleotides) under uncultured fungus. RNAcentral's name for it is "partial contains small subunit ribosomal RNA, internal transcribed spacer 1, and 5.8S ribosomal RNA". The stretch from base 1 to 73 matches the Rfam family "Eukaryotic small subunit ribosomal RNA", at positions 1759 to 1831 of the family's 1831-position model. The record is from RNAcentral. Lineage: Eukaryota; Fungi.